GGAUGCGAUCAUACCAGCACUAAUGCACCGGAUCCAUCAGAACUCCGAAGUUAAGCGUGCUUGGGCGAGAGUAGUACUAGGAUGGUGACCCCCUGGAAGUCCUCGUGUUGCAUCCC
Molecule: ribosomal RNA, 116 nt
Filed under: Ipomoea nil (Japanese morning glory)
Lineage: Eukaryota; Viridiplantae; Streptophyta; Magnoliopsida; Solanales; Convolvulaceae
Source: RNAcentral